UUAUGGCCAUAUCACAUUGAAACACCAGUUCUCAUAUAAUCAUUGAAAUUAAGCAACAUUGAACCUGAUUAGUCCCUAGAUAGGUGACUGCUUGAGAAUACCAGGUGCUGUAAG
Molecule: non-coding RNA, 114 nt
Organism: Acanthosepion pharaonis
Lineage: Eukaryota; Metazoa; Mollusca; Cephalopoda; Sepiida; Sepiidae
Source: the annotation of a GenBank genome assembly